GGGGGCGAUUUAGUUUCGACAGAGUUCAUUUUGGAAAAUGUAAAGCAUGUGGCGAAUGCUCCAAGCGCCUUAAAUGGGAGCGUGCGAAAUAAACGCAGAAAAAAAUGACAACGUUGUUACAAUGAAUACAAUGCCUUGCGCUGCGUAGUUUGUUGAACAACUGCCUGAUUAGAGCGUAAUCUAAUCCGCCAUGUUUUGCGUUGCCGGCAAAACUUAGGUGUCAGUUUGGCAAAACCUUUAUGCAAAGUUCUUCCUUCUAUGCAUAAAAAAUUUAAAGGAAUGGCAAAGAUAACCUGUUUGUGGGUGACAUCUUUGCGAGAAAGAAACAUAAACUAAACAUGUAGAAAAGUUUUCUGAAAGAAUUUUGGACUCGGGAGCAUAACCCGACGCCUCCAC
This 396-nucleotide transfer-messenger RNA is filed under the name chicken gut metagenome. It matches the Rfam family "transfer-messenger RNA". Rfam says of the family: Bacterial tmRNA, also known as 10Sa RNA or SsrA, is named for its dual tRNA and mRNA-like properties. Its role is to liberate the mRNA from a stalled ribosome. The record is from RNAcentral.